RNAcentral lists this ribosomal RNA (619 nucleotides) under Aspergillus flavus. RNAcentral describes it as "eukaryotic LSU rRNA". The stretch from base 237 to 390 matches the Rfam family "5.8S ribosomal RNA". RNAcentral also lists the same sequence under 1 other name. Lineage: Eukaryota; Fungi; Ascomycota; Eurotiomycetes; Eurotiales; Aspergillaceae. The record is from RNAcentral.
GGAAGUAAAAGUCGUAACAAGGUUUCCGUAGGUGAACCUGCGGAAGGAUCAUUACCGAGUGUAGGGUUCCUAGCGAGCCCAACCUCCCACCCGUGUUUACUGUACCUUAGUUGCUUCGGCGGGCCCGCCAUUCAUGGCCGCCGGGGGCUCUCAGCCCCGGGCCCGCGCCCGCCGGAGACACCACGAACUCUGUCUGAUCUAGUGAAGUCUGAGUUGAUUGUAUCGCAAUCAGUUAAAACUUUCAACAAUGGAUCUCUUGGUUCCGGCAUCGAUGAAGAACGCAGCGAAAUGCGAUAACUAGUGUGAAUUGCAGAAUUCCGUGAAUCAUCGAGUCUUUGAACGCACAUUGCGCCCCCUGGUAUUCCGGGGGGCAUGCCUGUCCGAGCGUCAUUGCUGCCCAUCAAGCACGGCUUGUGUGUUGGGUCGUCGUCCCCUCUCCGGGGGGGACGGGCCCCAAAGGCAGCGGCGGCACCGCGUCCGAUCCUCGAGCGUAUGGGGCUUUGUCACCCGCUCUGUAGGCCCGGCCGGCGCUUGCCGAACGCAAAUCAAUCUUUUUCCAGGUUGACCUCGGAUCAGGUAGGGAUACCCGCUGAACUUAAGCAUAUCAAUAAGCGGAGGA